RNAcentral lists this ribosomal RNA (289 nucleotides) under uncultured bacterium. RNAcentral describes it as "partial 16S ribosomal RNA". It matches the Rfam family "Bacterial small subunit ribosomal RNA", at positions 28 to 301 of the family's 1533-position model. The record is from RNAcentral.
GAUGAACGCUGGCGGCGUGCUUAACACAUGCAAGUCGAGCGAGAAACUUAACAUUGAACCUUCGGGUGAUAUGAUAAGUGGAAAGCGGCGGACGGGUGAGUAACGCGUGGGUAACCUGCCCUAUGCAGGGGGAUAACGCACUGAAAAGUGCGCUAAUACCGCAUAAGACCACAGGAUCACAUGAUCUAGAGGUAAAAACUCCGGUGGCAUAGGAUGGACCCGCGUCUGAUUAGCUAGUUGUGAGGUAACGGCUCACCAAGGCGACGAUCAGUAGCCGACCUGAGAGGGU